GUUGCUCAAGCCCUAGAGUCAGGCCACUCUGGCUGUAUGUGCAGAAUAAACUGGAGUAAGAACAUGAAAACCAGUUAGGAAGCUCCAGCAGUCAUCCUCGCCAGUUCCGAACCACAGACAAAUUGACAAAUCGACAUCGAUGCCACUGUGAGAGAAUAUUAUUGGAGAAGUAUGCUCAAGAAGAAAACCAUUUCAACCCAACUGGAGAGACAGGAAAUAUUCAUUACAGCAAGGUUCAAGUGUAGUGGUUGAGACAAUCAUGCCUCCCUCUCAGCUGUGUGCACAAAGCCCAAUUAUCUAAGGGGUAGGCAGAUGUGUGGUCACAAAGCAGGCAAAGUGAAAGUAAGGAAGUAAAAAAUCAAGAUAAUCCAAAAAAAUUGGUAAUUGCCCUUCUCUAAAUAAAAGCCAUAGCC
Molecule: long non-coding RNA, 413 nt
Organism: Talpa occidentalis (Iberian mole)
Lineage: Eukaryota; Metazoa; Chordata; Mammalia; Eulipotyphla; Talpidae
Exons: 4
Source: RefSeq, a predicted model, not a curated record